This 434-nucleotide unclassified non-coding RNA is filed under the name Senecio glaucophyllus subsp. basinudus. RNAcentral describes it as "partial contains external transcribed spacer and 18S ribosomal RNA". The stretch from base 371 to 434 matches the Rfam family "Eukaryotic small subunit ribosomal RNA", at positions 1 to 64 of the family's 1831-position model. The record is from RNAcentral. Lineage: Eukaryota; Viridiplantae; Streptophyta; Magnoliopsida; Asterales; Asteraceae.
CAACUUCCACCUGGCUUACCUCCNUCAUUUAUGCGUCAUGACUUGUAUCGUCUUGAGCGUAUUGUGGGUUUCCUGUGUUGCAUACCUUUCUAAUGGUAUCGUGUUGAUUGAUCGAAGUCCCUUUUCAUCUUGUGUUGCUUUUUGCGACGCAUGAUGAACCUUGAGGCGGUCUCUAUGUUCCACCACGUUGAUGCUACUGUUUCGAUGUUGUGGCCCAUUGAGCGUUGCUUGGUUUUGUGGAUACAGAACAUGAUUUGGGCAUAGGGUUACUUAUGACUCUUGUUCUGUCCUUUAUCAGUGUUCUUUAUAACGACGGUUCAUGCGCGCCUAGGCUCGUACCUGCGCGAUGUUCUUUGUCGAAGAGGAAUGCUACCUGGUUGAUCCUGCCAGUAGUCAUAUGCUUGUCUCAAAGAUUAAGCCAUGCAUGUGUAAGU